GUCUACUGCCAGGCCAUCCUGAACGCGCCCGAUCUCGUGAAGCUAAGCAGGGUCGAGCCUGGUUAGUACUUGGAUGGGGGGCUGCCUGGGAAUACCAGGUGCUGUAGGCU
RNAcentral lists this ribosomal RNA (110 nucleotides) under Cebus imitator (Panamanian white-faced capuchin). Lineage: Eukaryota; Metazoa; Chordata; Mammalia; Primates; Cebidae. The record is from RNAcentral.